GUCCCCGUGGUCUAGCGGCUAGGAUAUCUGACUACGACUGUGUAAUCAGGGGAUCACGGUUUCGAAUACCGUCGGGGAUU
Molecule: transfer RNA, 80 nt
Filed under: Tremella mesenterica DSM 1558
Lineage: Eukaryota; Fungi; Basidiomycota; Tremellomycetes; Tremellales; Tremellaceae
Rfam family: tRNA
About the family: Transfer RNA (tRNA) molecules are approximately 80 nucleotides in length.
Source: Rfam by way of RNAcentral